This 107-nucleotide small nuclear RNA is filed under the name Fukomys damarensis (Damara mole-rat). The record is from RNAcentral. Lineage: Eukaryota; Metazoa; Chordata; Mammalia; Rodentia; Bathyergidae.
GUACUCCCUUGGGCAGCACAAAUACUCAGAGUGGAAUGACUCACCGAACAUUAACAUGCCCCCUGUGCGAAGAUGACACGUGGAGUAAUGGAGGGGUCCGUGUCUUU